ACCCAGUUUCACAAGCUGGGUUAGGGUGCUUGUAAAGUUCGUAUAUGGAAUUCGCUGUGUCAUUUAAUCGGCCCACCCUUUUCAAGCAAUCAAUUUCGUCCGGAUCAACAAGCAAGGUCAGAUAGAGGGGCUGGCUCAUCACACGUGCAACGACUAUGAGUUCCGAGGCUAGGAGAUACAGAAUUCAAGAAAGUCCAUUCAGAGCCUUGGUUAUGUGGAAGUCUGAAUGCAUGGAAUGUAACACUCUUGAGUUGAGUUAAGGUAUAUGUGCAGGUUCUUUACAUUGGAAAGGAAGGAAGAUAUAUAAACUAAAAGAAGGGAUAGCAAGUGUACCUUAGGUGGACCUUCCAAUGCAUUAGUGCAAUAUAGUCUUGCGUUGUCAACCAGUUGGCAAUAUGUUAGAAAUGCAUUUGCAAAUCUCUUGUGGGAUUUCAAUUGUGAGUUUACUCGUACAGCUCUUCUACACAUGAUAGCUCUCCUGUUGUCAUUGACUUUCAUUUAUCAGGGCCUCAAGAGGAAAUGCUUUUCUUUUUACUGCUAAAAGUUCGAAAGUGAACAAAAAAAUAAGGUAAGACCACAUACCUUAUGCCUCUUAUAGCAGCUAGAUAAGCAUCACACACAACUCCAACAAGCUCUAUCCUGUAUGGUUUUCUCUUUCUGCCUCCUACUUGUUCUGGUUCUUCAUCGUCAAGUCGUUCCCAAUAGUUUUCUAUAACAGUUCCAUCUUCACCCUCCUUGUAACCAGGUCCCAUCCGAUAACGGCGGCGGUGGACAUUUCUGGCCAUUGUUACCGUCUGCACAACAAAUGGUACCCAAGAGAGUGUGCCAUCCAUGAUCACAUCCCGCCCUUCAUUAAGUGCUGUGACCAAGAGUGAUGAUGCUGCGUCCGUAGAUGAUUGGUGUACCUGUUUGAAAUCAUUUUAAUCAGCUCAUACUAUCCUUAAAAAAUUAUUUGAAUGAACUGUAGUUAAGGAUAGGUAUCUAUGAGUUUUAUAUACAAUAAUAUAAAGUUAUCCAACUGAAGUUUUUCCACA
Prunus dulcis (almond) is the source of this 1034-nucleotide long non-coding RNA. RefSeq lists it as uncharacterized. The transcript is spliced from 2 exons. The record is from RefSeq and is a predicted model, not a curated record. NCBI's taxonomy places the organism in Eukaryota, Viridiplantae, Streptophyta, Magnoliopsida, Rosales, Rosaceae.